AUGCUGCAGUUUCCUAUUCCUCCAAUCUGCAAGAUCAUGGCAGAGUCACUGCUUCUCCCUCUAGUGCGUGGUGUGGCCGGCAAGGCUGCAGACGCACUUGUUGAGACCGUGACCCACAUGUGUGGCCUCGACGACGACCGCCGAACGCUGGAGCGCCAUCUGCUAGCCGUUGAGUGCAAGCUGGCGAAUGCUGAGGAGAUGAGUGAGACAAACGGAUAUGUCAAGAGCUGGAUGAAGGAGUUCAAGUCUGUCGCCUACGAGGCCGACGACGUGCUUGACGACUUCCAGUAUGAGGCGCUGCGCCGCCAGUCUAAGAUUGGCAAGUCCACUACCCACAAGGUACUUGGCUACAUCACGCGCCAAAGCCCGUUGCUCUUCCGUUUUGAAAUGAGCAGGAAACUCAAGAACGUCCUCGAGAAGAUCAAUAAGUUGGUUGAGGAGAUGAACAAGUUUGGACUGGAGAAUUCUGUCCAUAGGGGGAAGCGACAAAAUCCUUGCCGGCAGACACACUCAAAACUGGAUGACUGUACCAAAAUAUUUGGAAGAGAUGAUGAUAAGACGGUGGUGGUGAAGCAACUGCUGGGCCUGCAAGAUCAGCAAAAGGUGCAGGUGUUGCCCAUCUUUGGGAUGGGUGGUCUUGGCAAGACGACUCUUGCUAAGAUGGUGUACAAUGAACGAGAGGUCCACGAACAUUUUCAGUUGAAGAUGUGGCACUGUGUGUCAGUAAAUUUUGAUAUUAUUGACCUUGUGAAAGCCAUAGCUGAAUUGGCCACAAAUGGAAGUUCUGCCAUGCUUGGCAGCAUCGAACUAUUGCAGAAGAAACUUGAUGAAGUCAUUGGCCAGAAAAGGUUUUUACUUGUUCUUGAUGAUGUAUGGAAUGAAGAUAAGAGGAUAUGGGAGGAUGAGUUGAAGCCACUAUUGUGUUCUGUUGGUGGACCAGGAAGUGUUAUAGUGGUUACAUGUCGAAGUAAACAAGUGGCCUCUAUAAUGUGCACUGUCAAGCCACACGAGCUAGCAUUUUUGAGUGAAGAAGGCUCAUGGGAAUUGUUUUCAAACAGAGCAUUUAGCAAUGGUGUAGAUGAGCAACCAGAGUUAGUCACCAUCGGAAGGCGUAUUGUGAAUAAAUGUGGGGGGUUGCCUCUUGCUCUCAAGACAAUGGGCGGAUUGCUGAGUUCAAAGCAAAAAGUACAGGAGUGGAAGGCCAUCGAAGAAAGUAACAUCGGGGAUAAUGAUGGAGGAAAAUAUGAGGUCAUGCCCAUACUGAAGUUAAGCUACAAAUACCUAUCAUCUGAAAUGAAGCAAUGUUUUGCAUUCUGUGCAGUCUUUCCCAAGGAUUAUGAGAUGGAGAAGGAUAGGUUGAUCCAACUAUGGAUGGCAAAUGGUUUUAUUCAAGAAGAGGGAAUAAUGGAUUUAGUACAGAAAGGAGAAUUCAUUUUUGAUGAGUUGGUUUGGAGGUCCUUCCUCCAAGAUAAGAAAGUGGCGAUCAAAUCUGCAAUCUAUCAUGGUGACACACAAUAUAAGACAUUUGUAUGUAAAAUGCAUGACCUAAUGCAUGAUCUAGCAAAAAAUGUCACGGAUGAGUGUGCAAGUAUAGAAGAAUUGUCUCAGCAGAAAGCAUUGUUAAAAGGUGUUUGUCACAUGAAAACAUCAAAGGCUGAAUUCGAACGAAUCAAUGGGUUAUGCAAAGGCAGAAAACUCCGCACUUUGUUAGCUCCUUCAGAAUCAUGGAAGGAUUAUAAUUAUAAUUUUCCGAGCAAAUCACACAAGGAUAUUAAGGAGUUGCAACAGGUUGCCAGAUUCAAUAUGUAUGUUGUAUAA
This 1818-nucleotide ribosomal RNA is filed under the name Triticum aestivum (bread wheat). Its description in RNAcentral is "partial small subunit ribosomal RNA". Lineage: Eukaryota; Viridiplantae; Streptophyta; Magnoliopsida; Poales; Poaceae. The record is from RNAcentral.